AACGAACGCUGGCGGCGUGGAUAAGACAUGCAAGUCGAACGCUGAUUUCGAGGGUAGCAAUAUUCUGGAGUCGGAGUGGCGCAAGGGUGCGUAACACGUGGGUAAUUUGCCAUGAAGCCCGGAAUAACUCGCUGAAAGGCGAGCUAAUACCGGAUGUGGAUCUUCGGAGGCAUCUCCUGAACCUCAAAGCUGGGGACCGUAAGGCCUGCACGUUCUUGANAAGCCCGCGGCCUAUCAGCUAGUUGGUGAGGUAACGGCUCACCAAGGCUAAGCGGGUAGCUGGUCUGAGAGGACGACCAGUCACACUGGGAACUGAGACACGGUCCAGGACACCUACGGGUGCAGCAGUCGAGAAUUUUUCGCAAUGGGCGAAAGCCUGAAGGAGCGACGCCGCGUGGGGGAUGAAU
Molecule: ribosomal RNA, 407 nt
Filed under: uncultured bacterium
Lineage: Bacteria
Description: bacterial SSU rRNA
Rfam family: Bacterial small subunit ribosomal RNA
Source: RNAcentral